This 60-nucleotide transfer RNA is filed under the name Eutreptiella gymnastica. The record is from RNAcentral. Lineage: Eukaryota; Euglenozoa; Euglenophyceae; Eutreptiales; Eutreptiaceae.
CAGUGGCAGAAUGGCAAUGCAGCCGACCGUGGACCUUUUGGUCGGUGGUUCGAGCCCCGG